This is a long non-coding RNA of Fundulus heteroclitus (mummichog), 1547 nucleotides long. RefSeq lists it as uncharacterized. NCBI's taxonomy places the organism in Eukaryota, Metazoa, Chordata, Actinopteri, Cyprinodontiformes, Fundulidae. The record is from RefSeq and is a predicted model, not a curated record. The transcript has 2 exons.
AUUAACCCUCCUGUUAUGUUACGGGUCAAAUUGACCCGUUUUAAAGUUUGAAGAUCUAGGAAAAAUAGUUAAAAGUAUUUUUUCAGCAUGAAACUUCUUCUGCUUGCCUUAAAUAGUGUAAUCAACAUAUAAUAUGAAAAUGAUUCAUCUCACAUAUUUGCAACCACCCCCUGCAUGUUUAUAUCACAUAGAUACUGUUCGGGUCAAUUUGACCCAGCAGUCAAACUGGAGGUAAAAGGGUGUCAGAAAUGCAACUGUGAGACAUGUUUCACCCCAAUCUCACUCACACACACACACACACACACACACACACACACACACACACACACACACACACACACACACACACACAGGAUGAAAGGCUGGUGGCAUUCAGAGGUCGCUGCCCAUUUAGGCAAUACAUGCCUUCCAAACCAGCUAAAUAUGGGAUAAAAAUCUGGGCAGCAUGUGAUGCAAACACCAGCUAUGCAUUGAACAUGCAGGUUUACACUGGAAAGCUGGUUGGAGGAGCCCCAGAGAAGAAUCAGGGCACAAGGGUCAUGCUCGACAUGGCACAGGGUCUCAGGGGACAGAACAUAACCUGUGACAAACUACAACUUGUGCCAGGAGCUUCUAAAGAGAAAGCUCACAAUGGUCGAAACUGUCCGAAAGAACAGGGCUGAACUCCAUGCUGAGCUGCUGGUAAUCAAGGACAGGGCCCCUCAAUCUUCCAUGUUUGCCUUCACAGACACCACAGCCCUAGUGUCUUACUGCCCCAAAAAGUCAAAAAAUGUUGAGCUCAUGAGCACUCUGCACAAAAAUGCUGAAAUCAUCACAAGAGAGGACCAGAAACCAAGCAUGAUCCUUGAUUACAAUGCCACCAAAGGGGGGUAGACAACUUAGACAAAGUAACAGGGUCCUACAGCACCAAACGGAUGACUGCGCGCUGGCCAUUGGUCAUCUUUUAUAACAUGAUCGAUGUAUCAGCCUACUAUGCAUUUAUCAUCGGGACGGAGAUAUUUCCUGAUUGGAAUGUGUCAAAGCUGUACAAGAGGCGCAUCUUUCUCGAGGAGCCGGGGAAGGAGCUUGUGACACCGCACAUCCAACGUAGGCAGCACCUGCCAAGGACCCCAGCCGCUGCAGCCACAGUGAGGGAGAUCCAGGAGAGGACUGCAUCAAGUACACCAAUGCGUGAGGUUGCUGCUGAGGGGAAAAGAAAGAGGAAGAGGAGCCAGGUCUGCAGGCCAUCUGACGAUGUCAAGACAAGCAUGACCUGCGCGAAAUGUGCAAAAUUCAUUAGCACGAAGCACAGUGUUAUGACAUGUCACUCGUGUGUUGUGUAGAUGUACAGACAAACAGACAGACACACACACACAUACACCUUGUUCAUAUUGCAAUUGCUUGUUUGUUGUAUUGUAUUGCGAUUUUGUUCAUUUCUGGUUCACAAACAGUGCAUGCAUGUAAAACAAAAUUUAAAUGUUAAGUUUCAAUGUUGUGUAAAACUAUUGUGUUUUAUAUGUUGGUCUUUCAAAAGAAAUAAAGUGGUGAAACAUUAAAAAAAGUUUGAA